This 838-nucleotide ribosomal RNA is filed under the name uncultured archaeon. RNAcentral's name for it is "bacterial SSU rRNA". It matches the Rfam family "Archaeal small subunit ribosomal RNA", at positions 21 to 859 of the family's 1478-position model. The record is from RNAcentral.
AGGUUAUUGCAAUCGGUGUUGGCUUAAGCCAUGCGAUUCAUAUGUUCGUAAGAACAUGGCGUACUGCUCAGUAACACGUGGAUAACCUGCCCUUGGGUCCGGCAUAACCCCGGGAAACUGGGGAUAAUUCCGGAUAACGCACAUAUGCUGGAAUGCUUUAUGCGUAAAAUGGAUUCGUCUGCCCAAGGAUGGGUCUGCGGCCUAUCAGGUAGUAGUGGGUGUAAUGUACCUACUAGCCUACGACGGGUACGGGUUGUGAGAGCAAGAGCCCGGAGAUGGAUUCUGAGACAUGAAUCCAGGCCCUACGGGGCGCAGCAGGCGCGAAAACUUUACAAUGCGGGAAACCGUGAUAAGGGGACACCGAGUGCCAGCAUCCUAUGCUGGCUGUCCGGGUGUGUAAAAUACACCUGUUAGCAAGGGCCGGGCAAGACCGGUGCCAGCCGCCGCGGUAACACCGGCGGCCCGAGUGGUGAUCGUGAUUAUUGGGUCUAAAGGGUCCGUAGCCGGUUUGGUCAGUCCUCCGGGAAAUCUGACAGCUUAACUGUUAGGCUUUCGGAGGAUACUGCCAGACUUGGAACCGGGAGAGGUAAGAGGUACUACAGGGGUAGGAGUGAAAUCUUGUAAUCCCUGUGGGACCACCUGUGGCGAAGGCGUCUUACCAGAACGGGUUCGACGGUGAGGGACGAAAGCUGGGGGCACGAACCGGAUUAGAUACCCGGGUAGUCCCAGCCGUAAACGAUGCUCGCUAGGUGUCAGGCAUGGCGCGACCGUGUCUGGUGCCGCAGGGAAGCCGUGAAGCGAGCCACCUGGGAAGUACGGCCGCAAGGCUGAAACUUAA